Molecule: long non-coding RNA, 379 nt
Filed under: Pan troglodytes (chimpanzee)
Lineage: Eukaryota; Metazoa; Chordata; Mammalia; Primates; Hominidae
Description: long non-coding RNA NONPTRT013436
Source: RNAcentral
UAUAACUCACAUGACAGCUGAGAUCACUAGCGACGUUCUUAUAACCUAACAUGGCCACAAGUAACCAAAACCUGUUUCCUUGGUCUCUGUUUUGCAUCCUUCUAGAAUUUUACUGUCACCUAAUUAUAUAAUUGUCUUUUUAUCCAGACCUCAGAGUUGGGUGUCACAGAACAUGUUGAAGGAGACCCUUGCAAAUUUGCACUGUGGGUGGGGAGAACACCAACUUCAGAUAAUAAAAUUGUCCUUAAGGCUUCCAGCAUAGAGAACAAGCAGGACUGGAUAAAGCAUAUCCGCGAAGUCAUCCAGGAGCGGACGAUCCACCUGAAGGGAGCCCUGAAGGAGCCCAUUCACAUCCCUAAGACCGCUCCCGCCACAAGAC